RNAcentral lists this ribosomal RNA (253 nucleotides) under uncultured bacterium. RNAcentral's name for it is "partial 16S ribosomal RNA". It matches the Rfam family "Bacterial small subunit ribosomal RNA", at positions 524 to 776 of the family's 1533-position model. The record is from RNAcentral.
UACGUAGGGUGCAAGCGUUAUCCGGAAUCAUUGGGUUUAGAGGGUCCGCAGGCGGUCAAUUAAGUCAGAGGUGAAAUACCGUCGCUUAACGACGGAACUGCCUUUGAUACUGGUUGACUUGAGUCAUAUGGAAGUAGAUAGAAUGUGUAGUGUAGCGGUGAAAUGCUUAGAUAUUACACAGAAUACCGAUUGCGAAGGCAGUCUACUACGUAUUGACUGACGCUCAUGGACGAAAGCGUGGGGAGCGAACAGG